UAAUGGUACAUUUAUAGCAGAAAUGCGAGCUGUGGUAGGGAGAAUCACCACCUCUGAUGGUAUCUUCAUUUUUGAACAGUACUGCCACUGAAGAAAACUAAUAAUGAAACAUAGGAUUAACAAAUUGAAACCUAACCUAUACACAUAAAUUAGAGAACAAACUAUGCAUUUUGCUUGACAAAUACAUGAACUUAUCCUUCUUAAGUUCUCAAACAAUGACAUGUGUUGGCUUAGCAUCAUAAAUUAUAAUAUCACCUUGUGCAUGAACAACAGCUAUGUGGCCUUGCCAUGUUACACAAGCAUAUGUUGAUAACAAAGAUUUAGCCAUGUCUGUAAGACCAAAGCCCAGAAUCAUAUUUGCUGCAAGCAAUUAAUCAAUAAUAACAACUUCAAAUACUAGUACCAGCUAGCAGAAAUACACACAUAUUUGCUUUUGAUGAUACUACUGCUAAGAUAGAUGCCUAGUCCUUAAAAACUGAAUUCAAACCAUCACAUGCAGGUCCAAUAGCAUAUAAUAUUACACUUAACAUCCUUUGACUAACCAGAGACCUCAUGUUAUCUAGAGAAUUUCUAAACACUACUAGGUACUCUAUUUGAAUUAAGAUCAUCACAUAAAACUGAGGACCUCAUAUGAUGCGCAUGGCCCAAAACCUAUUGAUUUCUUCUAUCAAGAAUCAAGAGAUGGUAUUCAAUCUAGAAUGGAUUCCUGUACUGAUAACUUUAAAGCUCAGUGGCUCUUUGACCUUAUCCUAACUAUCUAUAUGAAAGAAUAAUAAUCUCAACUCUUCAAAAAUUCUAAGCAAAAGGAUUUCACCCUCCCAUUCAGACUACGAAUACUCCAGUACAACAAAUAUGCAUAAUUUUAAAUCUGCCGUGGAGUGCUGCAGAAUCAAUCAUAUUAAGAUUACUUCAGUUUUACUUACAUUGUUUCUUCAUCUUCUUUUCAGGUGAAAGAGAUCCGUGGCAAGAGAGCCGGUAUUGUCGAAGUAAAAAAGGCAAUUCACCGCAUAUUCUCGCAAUAUUAAUUUCUAAUAGUAACACUUAAAAGAUGGCACAAAUAAUCUGGUAGAAAAUGAAGUUCAUUUAUCUAUGAUCUAUGUGUAAUGUCAAUGACUACUGUUGAUACAGAGUUCUUAUGGCAGGCUAAGGAUAUAUGUAUUCCACCACAACAAGAGUAAAUAUGUGAUCAGGUCAAUGUUAACAGUUUUCAUGACUUCGUUUGACCUUUAAGAUUGUUUGGCAAAGGAAGCCCAAAGUUAUAGGAAAUGACAUAACUGUAGCUCUCCCUGAAAUCUGUUGAUCUCCUGACAAUGUACUGCAAGGCUUGAAAUCAUUCGAUGUUAGUCCCAUGCAAUUCUUAAUUUUGCUGUUUCUUCUUCUUCUUAGGUAUCGUGCCUUUAUCUGCAAGAUUUCAGCCAACCAUCCUCUUCUUCCAUGAACAAAAAGAGACCAUCUCCAACUCUUCUUUCAAUCGCCCAACCCUGAUCAUUAAGUAGAAACUUGUCUGCAUCUAUCAAUUGGGUUUCAUAUGAUCUUAGUACUAACUUUUUUUUCUUCUGUCGUAUUCUCAUCCAAAUCUAUACCACAUACUACUUUAUGACUGGUUAGUUGAGAACUUACACCAAUAGAGAUUGACUCCAAUCUACCUAGAAUCUUUAAGGAACCCUGACCAUCUAUAUAAUUCACCUUCCACUUUGUAGGAAUGUUACUCCAUACCUCCUUUAUUUUGUAGGGUUGACAUAAUUUCAGUUACAGCAAAAAUGUUAAGGACUUCAUAAGUCAGCAAAUUUGUUGACCAUACUUGAUCGAUAAUGGACUAUAAUAUUCCAAAAAUUUCUUUUCUUUUUUUUUUUCACAAUCUGAUGAAUGGUAAAGUAAGCUUUGCUCACCACAAACUUAAGCAAGUGAAAGAAAGUCAUCAAGUUUCUCAUAAAAUUUGAAGAUGGCAUUUUAGCUUCCUGUCACAAGAAAGCAUUGCCACGUUAGCAUAUUGGAACAACUUUUUGCAAGUAAAAAAGCAAUCUUCUCCUUCCUAAGACAGAUUUCUUGUGAAUGCAUUAAUAAGCAUUGUAACAUCUAUUGUCUGAAAUGCCUGUUCUUCAAUGUUCCAGCAUAAAAUUCAAGUACCCAGACAGAGGCAAGAUUCUACUCAGAAUAUAAUAGUAAGAUUUUGAAAAUUUGUAUAAUAAAGCAGCUCAAGAUUUGCUUGCAAAAGAGAAAAUGAAUAAACAAAUACAAGUCUACAUUGGAUCUCAAUAAAAAAGAAAAGAAAUGAAAACAUGUUGAAAACUAACUAAUUGCGUCACUUUAAAUAUAAUAUUCACAUAUCAUGUGGAAAUUUAUGCAAAUAAUAACAUUGGUUUGGAACCAUAAAGAAGAUACAAGUAUGCAUCCUCAACAGACAUUGCACAAAAUUACUCUCCCUAUGCAAAAUUUAAAUAAAUAGACUCCAAAGAAACUGUAUCCAUGUUACGAAUUUGUGUAGACCAGCUAUUACAUAUGCUGGGCAUCGGCACAGCAAGAACAUGAUUGCUUGUUCCAUCUUAAAGUCAUAACACUCAGGAAAAAAUGCAACACCAUGUGUUUUGUAAGAUGUUAAAAUGGCAUUAACUACUAGAAGUAAAAGUCAUACAAUACCCUAAUCACUUCUCCGUAUUGAGAACUAAAGAGAAAACAAAAAAUAACUCCUACGUCAUGUCAAACAUUCUCAUUUAAAUCUGUAACUAAUAUUUAUAUAUCUACACUUCAAGCAACACUUUGACAUAUAGUUUGAAGCAAUAAAAUAGGUUGUCUAACUAAAAGGUCUCUCUCAGAGAUACAAAAACAGUGAUGAGCUAAACUCAAUACAAUUUCAUGAGUGAUGGUUAUCAGAGCAUGUAAAUGAGCUGCAUAUAUCAAUGACAUAUUAAACAGGACUAACAAUAGGUUGCAAGGGACUGGAUGCUUCUCAAAUACAAGGAUUCGGCAUCAGAUAUGGUGUCCAUGCUAGUUAGUGGUAUGCACAAUAAGCUUAUUUUAUUGUAUCGAGCCAAAACUUGGCACACACUGGUACGGAAAGAUACAAGAGUAGCAUCACAAUAAGACAUGAAAGUUGCACACAUACUGCACAUAGUAGCUUUACACCACAAUAAGAACUAUGGAAGAAUAUGUUGUACAUGUUUAGACAUCAAAGGGUAUUUAGCAUUACAUGCAUACUGCUCCUAAUUGUGGGCAUCUCCUAUAGGAUUUCAAAUCCUUACAAUGAUUAAAAAGGUAAAACAUGUAGAGUUGUGGUCCAGAGAGUCUGGGAACAUAGGAUGUCGGACAUAAGUUUUAAAGAAAAACUAGUUUAUAACCCCAUAACACUAUGUAUCGGCCAGUAUUAUUAUAUAUUGAAGAAAAAUCCAUUAGUAUAGACCAAGGUUAGCCUUAUGGUACUGGACCCCAUACUAGUGCCAAUUCAUUACUUUGCCAGUACGGGGCCGGUUCGGCACACUGAAUGUCGGUAUGCCCCCCAUAUGGUAUUCCAGUAACAAACCAGUAUGCUACAGUACGUUCCAUACCAUUCAGUUCAGUCUAAUAUGGCAAACCUCGACACGGACCAAUAUGCACUGAGGCAGUUGUGUACUGAUGGCAUAGAGGUGUCUACCUUCAUAUCAUGUGGAUAACCUGCUGGUAUGGCUCACCUCAUAUGAUACAACACAAAUCGGCGCUCUAGUUCUUAGUUCAAAUUUAGGACUUCCAAGUGUAUUCAACUUAAAUGACAUCUGUCAUAUUACAUACAUACAUAUCAAAGACUUAGAGGUACUUAAAUUAGAUAAAUUGAAAAGUUCACAUUCACUAGACUAAACAUCAAACAGUUUACAUUCACAUAGACUAAACUUCAACAUAUAAAACCAAGUCCUUUAAAAUGGUCGCACAUCAGGAUUGAUCUAACGACCAUUAAGCAUCAGCAAGGCGUGAUUUACAACAGGUUCAUCUAGAGAAGCUUUUACUGACUCCGUAUUCAUAUAAAACUCUAGAAUUUAUUCCUCAGGUGCCGUCUUUUAACACUUGAAAGACCAUAAGCUUAGGUUUCUCAUGGAAUAUAGAACAUCCUCUGCUUGAUUUACCUUUAUUUCAUUCCCCUUCUUCUUAACAUUCAAAAUUCUGAGAAUGUGGUUCAAUUUUCCUCUCAAGAAGAAAACAAUCACGACGAUAUAGCAAACUAAAAUGCAUUAAUUUCAUAAAUAGCAACCCACGCAAACCUAAUCAGCAUCCAUUACAAAACUCACCUUGUUACUGCAUUUUCUUCUCUUUUAAGGUUUUCAGCAUUUCCUUUUACCCCCCAGCAAUGGCAUCAUCUGCACGUUAUAAGAUUUUUAGAAAAAUGCAAAUAUAAUUUUCAAACCCCUUACUUGGAUGAUCUACCUGGCUUGACCUCGAAUCUCGGAGAAUCGAGGUUGUCUACCAGACUAAAAUAAACACUAGAUAAUCAAAAUCUUUGUAAGAAAAUACGAUUUUGAAAGCAACUUGUGAAACAAGUCACCAUUUUUCGCAAACACUGCUAAAACCAACCGAGGCCCGCUGGACGAGACUAGCAAGCUAUUGAUCGCAACCCAGCCUUGACAGCUAGCUCCUACACGACCAAGGGUCCAUAAGAGAACAAGGGUUUGCUCAGUUAUUUCUCUCAUUCAUAUGGUUUAGGUACAGUGCGUUGCUCUUUGCUCUUUAUUUUCCUUUUUCCCCGUGCUGAAAGGGAGGGGGAGGUGCUCCGAUACCCUGCUUUCUCUGUCAAGGGCGAGGGCGAGGGCGAGGGCGAGCAUUAUUUUAGUUACUUUCUUCCAAGUUUUUCAUUUAGAUUUAUUUAUCACACUCAAAUUAGUCUGAGUCCUUUUAAAUCUUUAUUUUCUGAGUACUUUGGAAUCCC
This 4888-nucleotide long non-coding RNA is filed under the name Elaeis guineensis (African oil palm). Its description in RNAcentral is "long non-coding RNA (EGUI_LNC040964)". The record is from RNAcentral. Lineage: Eukaryota; Viridiplantae; Streptophyta; Magnoliopsida; Arecales; Arecaceae.